GAUCUCGGUGCCAUUGAUGCAAGACGGAGAUUGUCACAGGAUUCCUGCACAUUCAGACUGUCAACCUACCCUGGAUUUGUCUUGUUUAAUGGUGCAAGUGAACAUCAUCUGGGGGAAAACCAUCGCUGCCGACAUCCUCUACAGGGAGUUGUUGGACGGGGCACGGGGCCACUGCUGAGGGACCUGGAGAAGGUGGGCUGCUCGCUGGACAUCAAAGAUGUGAGAGACGGGGACCAAGGCUGCUGUUACCUGCACAUAGCCAGGGGGAAUUCAUUCCGGAAUAGCUACUGAGCAACACAGCCUGAACUCAUUGUCACAGAGCUGAUGGAGCAGCUGGUACUGGGGAUCCCCGAGGUGCUGCUGCCCAGCAUUUGAUGAACAUGAUCAGCCAGGCUGCAGCGACCUUCUUCGGGACCCCUCCCCAAAUCACCUGGAUGGGAGGGUUCGACUCCAGAGCCAGGGACCUCUCAGUCUCCCUGGUGAACAGCAGCAUCUCCUACAGCUCCAUGCUCAGCUUCACGCCGGCCCCAGGGGACCACGGCAAAGAGUUCAUCUGCAGUGUCACAUGCCCCACGGUCGGGGUCUCCACUCGUAGAGCCCUAUNUGUAGAGCCCUCUAGCUCCAGGCGGGCUAGAGCCCCCGGUUGGGGAUCAGGCUGAACGCAUCCUGCCAGUGCCAGGGGCACAACGUCAACUGCAACUGCUCCCUGAACUCCCACUCCCUGCCCCAGCUCCAGUGGCAGGUGGAUGGGGAGGCCCUUGCUGGGAAUAGCUUGUUCGGGGCCCUGCAGAUCAGCUCCUGGUCCCAGAGGGACAAGGUCAUCAGCACCCUCAGCUGAGUGGGGAUGGGCCCCCAGGAUCUUCUGUGGCAGCUCCAACCCCCAUAGCACGUAUUCUGUACUGCUG
This 905-nucleotide long non-coding RNA is filed under the name Gopherus agassizii (Agassiz's desert tortoise). RNAcentral's name for it is "lncRNA (ENSGAGG00000014710.1)". Lineage: Eukaryota; Metazoa; Chordata; Testudines; Testudinidae. The record is from RNAcentral.